GAGAUUGCUCCAAGUUUUGACUUUCAAAACUUAAUGACUUUGUACGGUCUAUAAUCUGUUGGAAAGCUGAAUAAGUAGGGUGUUCAAUUAUUAUUGAUUCACCGUCCAACUUAGCUUUAAACCCAAAUUGUACCUCGGGUUCGGGCUCUUCGGCUUCAGUAGCAGUUUCGGCUUCCGUGAUUAAAUCAUCAGCAACAACAUUUGUAGAGGUAGAUUCAAUACUUUCAUCUUCAGUACUUUGAUCGGCAGCUACAUUAGAAGCUGCGGCAACUGAAGGAUUAUUACGGUUUUCAACAAGUUGUAUUAAUUGAGCACUGUCCAUUUCCAGCUUGUUAGCAAGCACAUCAACACUUAUGACACUGUGAAUACGGCAAUAUGCCUCAGCAAGUAAUUUGCGAGCACC
Molecule: non-coding RNA, 403 nt
Organism: Schizosaccharomyces pombe (fission yeast)
Lineage: Eukaryota; Fungi; Ascomycota; Schizosaccharomycetes; Schizosaccharomycetales; Schizosaccharomycetaceae
Source: the annotation of a GenBank genome assembly